Molecule: RNA transcript, 2504 nt
Organism: Cercocebus atys (sooty mangabey)
Lineage: Eukaryota; Metazoa; Chordata; Mammalia; Primates; Cercopithecidae
Gene: ZC3H8
Gene name: zinc finger CCCH-type containing 8
Exons: 10
Source: RefSeq, a predicted model, not a curated record
GGCUGCGCGGGGCGGAGCCUGUGGCCCUGGUGCGGGUCUGGGUCCGUCUUGUGGCGUCCGAGUUGUCACUCUCUCGGGUUGUUACUCUGUAGCUUCUCGGCUCGCGAAAGGGAGGACCUGUCUGGGUCAUGGAUUUUGAGAAUCUUUUCUCAAAACCCCCCAACCCGGCCCUCGGCAAAACGGCCACGGACUCUGACGAAAGAAUUGAUGAUGAAAUAGAUGAUGCAGAAGUUGAAGAAACACAAGAGGAGAAAAUUAAACUGGAGCACGAUCAAAUUCCCAAAAAAUUUAGACACUUUGGAAACUCUGCAGUAUCACCAAAAAGUUCACUGCAUAGAAAAUCAAGAAGUAAGGACUAUGAUGUAUAUAGUGAUAAUGAUACCUGUGGUCAGGAAUCAGAAGAUAAUUUUGCCAAAGAGCUUCAACAGUACAUACAAGCCAGAGAAAUGGCAAAUGCUGCACAACCUGAAGAAUCUACAAAGAAAGAAGGAGUAAAAGAUACCCCACAGGCUGCUAAACAAAAAAAUAAAAAUCUUAAAGCUGGUCACAAAAACGGCAAACAGAAGAAAAUGAAGCGAAAACGGCCUGGCACUGGAAACAAAGGAUCAAAUGCUUUGCUGAGGAACAGUGGCUCACAGGAAGAGGAUGGUAAACCUAAAGAGAAGCAGCAGCAUUUGAGUCAGGCAUUCAUCAACCAACAUACAGUGGAACGCAAGGGAAAACAAAUUUGUAAAUAUUUUCUUGAAAGGAAAUGUAUUAAGGGAGACCAGUGUAAAUUUGAUCAUGAUGCAGAGAUAGAGAAGAAAAAGGAAAUGUGUAAGUUUUACGUACAAGGAUAUUGUACCAGAGGUGAAAACUGUCUGUAUUUGCAUAAUGAAUAUCCUUGUAAGUUUUACCAUACAGGAACAAAAUGUUAUCAGGGAGAAUAUUGCAAGUUUUCUCAUGCUCCACUGACUCCUGAAACACAAGAAUUGUUGGCUAAAGUUUUGGAUACUGAAAGGAAGCCAUGUAAAUAAAAUAGACAUAGAAAGGUAGCAUUGUACAGAUGAAGAGUACUUAACACCCAUGCCUGUUCAAGACUGUUCAAGACUGGUGAUUUGGAGUAGUUUACAAGAUUCCUCAUUCAGAGUGCCCUCUUGUGUGACUGGGGUGAUGUGCAGCUUCCAUAAUGGAUGGGACAGAGAGCUGGGAUCUAAUGUACAAGUGAAGGGCUUGGUCUUCACUGAGACAUUCCAGCCAUUGGAAUAGGAGAGGAGCAUAUAUGGCAGAGAUGCUGGCUGAUGGCGAUUGUGACACCAGAACGGAGGCAGCUGUCUUAAGAUUUCAAGGGGUGCUAGCUGAAGAUAACAGAGAGGAAAGUUGGGAAGAAGCUGGAUCCUUGAUAACAGCUGAGCCAUGGACUUAACCAGUCUUAGAGAGACCCCCACCUUCAGAUUUCAUGUCAUACCACCUGAAAUAAUGUAUUUUCAUUAUUGUUCAAGCCAUUUUGAUUUGGGUUGUCUACUAUGCUACCUGCAGCCAAAGGGAAACUAAUAAAUGUGAACCAAGAAGCAAACCUACAUUCUUCUUCCCAAAGUCCAUGUUUCUUCCCCUCACCAACCUCUUCACCAAAAACUACAUUCAUUGUAUUCAGCUCCUGCAAAGAGCACACAUUAAGAAACAGGUUUAAGGAAGUGUUACACACUGAAUGUAUGCAUCCCCCAAAAUUCAUGUGGUGAAAUCCUAACUCCUAGGACUAACUAUUAGGAGGUAGGGCCUUUGGGAGGUGAUUGGGUUUUGAGGGUGGAGCCCCUCAUGAAUGGGAUUAGUGCCCUUAUAAAAGAGGUCCUGGGGAGCUGUCUCCCUUUUCCACCAUGUGAGGACACAGCAAGAAAAUGGCUGUCUACAAAGCACGACGCAGACCCUCACCAGACACUGAAUCUACUAGCACCUUGACCUCCCCCAGUCUCCAGAACUGUGAGGAAUAAGUGUCGUUGAAGCCACCUAUUCUAUGGUAUUUUUGUUACAAUAGCCCAAAUGGACUAAGAAAUGAAGAGAAAUUAAGAUGGGAAGGGCUAUUUUCAUAACAAGGAGCAGAAAACUAGAAAGAAUAGAUACAUUUAGAGGGGUUAAGAGGAAAGGGGAGAAUGUUAUAUGUUUGGGUAGGGAGGGACAAGAUGCCCAACUCAUCUUAAAAGUACUGUUGAUUCCUGAGAAAUUUGUAACACUCAUUUACAUUAUUUAAAAAUAAACUAAGAAAUUCAAACUUGUCUCGGAGGCAUGAAAAAACAAAAAAAGACCUGUUUUUAGUUACUAUAUGUUAUUCUGAACUAUACAUUAUUUAACGUCUCUGAAACUGGAAUAUAUUUUACAAUUGAUAGACUCACAUUUUAAUUAGCAGGUUAUUGUUUUCUUGGUGGUACAUAAGAAAUGGUGAAUCUUACUGAUUCAAUGACAUUUAGAUUCUAUUAAAUAUAAUUUUUAACUGAAGUACAUAGUUAAAUAAAAGUUUACUGUGAAAUAAA